This 357-nucleotide ribosomal RNA is filed under the name uncultured Desulfobulbus sp. RNAcentral describes it as "bacterial SSU rRNA". It matches the Rfam family "Bacterial small subunit ribosomal RNA", at positions 1026 to 1382 of the family's 1533-position model. The record is from RNAcentral. Lineage: Bacteria; Pseudomonadati; Thermodesulfobacteriota; Desulfobulbia; Desulfobulbales; Desulfobulbaceae.
GUCUGGAGACAGGUGCUGCAUGGCUGUCGUCAGCUCGUGUCGUGAGAUGUUGGGUUAAGUCCCGCAACGAGCGCAACCCUUGCCUUUAGUUGCCAGCAGUUCGGCUGGGCACUCUAAAGGGAACUGCCGGUGUUAAACCGGAGGAAGGUGGGGAUGACGUCAAGUCCUCAUGGCCUUUAUGACCAGGGCUACACACGUACUACAAUGGCCGAUACAAAGGGCAGCGACACUGCGAGGUGAAGCCAAUCCCGUAAAAUCGGUCUCAGUCCGGAUUGGAGUCUGCAACUCGACUCCAUGAAGUUGGAAUCGCUAGUAAUCGUGGAUCAGCAUGCCACGGUGAAUACGUUCCCGGGCCUU